CACGUAGUUAGCCGGGGCUUCUUAGUCGGGUACUGUCAAUUUCUUCCCUGCUGAUAGAGCUUUACAUACCGAAAUACUUCUUCACUCACGCGGCGUUGCUGCAUCAGGGUUUCCCCCAUUGUGCAAUAUUCCCCACUGCUGCCUCCCGUAGGAGUUUGGGCCGUGUCUCAGUCCCAAUGUGGCCGAUCACCCUCUCAGGUCGGCUACUGAUCGUUGCCUUGGUGAGCCGUUACCUCACCAACCAGCUAAUCAGACGCGGGUCCAUCUUACACCGAUACAAUCUUUUCCGUCAGAGUCAUGCGACCCCAGCGGGUUAUGCGGUAUUAGCAGCCAUUCUAACUGUUAUCCCCUGUGUAAGGCAGGUUCCCCACGCGUUACUCACCCGUCCGCCGCUCAGUCAAACUGUUUCAUUCCGAAAAAUCAAACAGAGUGACUUCGCUCGACUUGCAUGUUGUUAAAGUCACGCCGCCAGCGUUCAUCCUGAGCCGAGGACUACAAACUCUACG
RNAcentral lists this ribosomal RNA (506 nucleotides) under uncultured Lachnospiraceae bacterium. Its description in RNAcentral is "partial 16S ribosomal RNA". The record is from RNAcentral. Lineage: Bacteria; Bacillati; Bacillota; Clostridia; Lachnospirales; Lachnospiraceae.